RNAcentral lists this ribosomal RNA (360 nucleotides) under Gigaspora sp. J25Gig. RNAcentral describes it as "eukaryotic LSU rRNA". It matches the Rfam family "Eukaryotic large subunit ribosomal RNA", at positions 199 to 508 of the family's 3401-position model. The record is from RNAcentral. Lineage: Eukaryota; Fungi; Glomeromycota; Glomeromycetes; Diversisporales; Gigasporaceae.
GGUAUCAUAGAGGGUGAGAAUCCCGUGCAUGAUCAGACCAAGAUACUUAAUAUUCGCUUUCUAAGAGUCGAGUUGUUUGGGAAUGCAGCUCAAAAUGGGUGGUAGACUUCACCUAAGGCUAAAUAUCAGCGAGAGACCGAUAGCGAACAAGUACUGUGAAGGAAAGAUGAAAAGAACUUUGAAAAGAGAGUUAAAUAGUACGUGAAAUUGUUGAAAGGGAAACGAUUGAAGUCAGUCAUGCUAGUGAAAAUUCAGUUUGACGGGUUUUGGGUUUGGGAGUAGAGGCAGGGUCAAACCGUUUCUCUUUUGAACUCGGGAUUUGUCGGAUGCACUUUUUCUUUGGCAGGUUAGCGUCGAUUU